This 916-nucleotide ribosomal RNA is filed under the name uncultured bacterium. RNAcentral describes it as "bacterial SSU rRNA". It matches the Rfam family "Bacterial small subunit ribosomal RNA", at positions 10 to 924 of the family's 1533-position model. The record is from RNAcentral.
AGUUUGAUCCUGGCUCAGGAUGAACGCUGGCGGCGUGCCUAAUACAUGCAAGUCGAACGAAUCUCUUUUAGAGAUGAGUGGCGAACGGGUGAGUAAUACAUAGGUAACCUGCCCCUGUGCGGGGGAUAACAGGAGGAAACUCCUGCUAAUACCGCAUAGCCAUGAGCACCGCAUGGAGCUCAUGCCAAAUAUCCUUUAUGGGAUAGCGCAGGGAUGGACCUAUGGCGCAUUAGCUGGUUGGCGGGGCAACGGCCCACCAAGGCAACGAUGCGUAGCCGGCCUGAGAGGGCGGACGGCCACAUUGGGACUGAGACACGGCCCAGACUCCUACGGGAGGCAGCAGUAGGGAAUUUUCGGCAAUGGGGGAAACCCUGACCGAGCAACGCCGCGUGAGCGAAGAAGGCCUUCGGGUCGUAAAGCUCUGUUGUAAAGGAAGAACGGCGCAUACAGGAAAUGGUAUGCGAGUGACGGUACUUUACCAGAAAGCCACGGCUAACUACGUGCCAGCAGCCGCGGUAAUACGUAGGUGGCGAGCGUUAUCCGGAAUCAUUGGGCGUAAAGAGGGAGCAGGCGGCCGCAAGGGUCUGUGGUGAAAGCCCGAAGCUAAACUUCGGUAAGCCAUGGAAACCGGGCGGCUAGAGUGCGGAAGAGGAUCGUGGAAUUCCAUGUGUAGCGGUGAAAUGCGUAGAUAUAUGGAGGAACACCAGUGGCGAAGGCGACGGUCUGGGCCGCAACUGACGCUCAUUCCCGAAAGCGUGGGGAGCAAAUAGGAUUAGAUACCCUAGUAGUCCACGCCGUAAACGAUGGUCACUAAGUGUCGGGGGUCAAACCCCGGUGCUGCAGUCAACGCAAUAAGUGACCCGCCUGAGUAGUACGUUCGCAAGAAUGAAACUCAAAUGAAUUGACGGAAGGGCGA